UGCUUUAUAUCUUAAGGAGUCAUUUAUUUCAAUCAUGAAGACACCUGGAAGCUACAGGAAUCUCAUCUAACUUUGUUGCAGUACUGAUUGCUAUCAACAGUUUGCUAUAUUUUUACCUGCAUUUCCUGUUUGUUUAUAAAAAGGCUAAGUGACAGCCUCAUUCAUUUUAAAAUUUUGUUAUCAGGAACAGUAUUUGUAUUUAAUGCUGUCUUAGAAUUAAAGAAAUGUUUGCUUAUUGGAUAUGUGUCUUAGUUUAAUAAUAAGAGUAUUAUAAGUUUGCAAGGAGAACAUGUACUUGCUUUCUUCAGGCACAUUGAAGUCUCUAUAAUAUUUCCUAUAUAGUUAGUUUAUGAAUUUAUAUAUGUGAUUCAUAAUAUAUAGAUGAUCAGAAAAUUAAACAUUUGAUUUUUUUCUCUAGGCAUCACUGUCUUCACAGAAAUAAUAUAUUCUUCAUUUGAAAUUUCUUUAACCCUUUGAGCCAUUUUAUGUUACAUAUUUAUCCCUCUUGGAUUGGCCAAAUACCUCACUGAUUUUAUCUUUCUUGUGCUAUUUAAUAGGAAGCUCUUGAUAUUUCUCAUAUGAUGUUGGGCACUGGUUACUUUAAUGAUUGUUUUGUUAAACAACCCAUACCUUGGAGAAUAAAGUGAAAGCUGAACUUGCUAAUUUUUUCUAAUUAUUUAACCUAUAUUAUCCUAAAUAUAGCAGACAUGAGAAUAAUCCUUUGGAGGUUAUCAGAGACUCUUUGAGCAUCAUAUUUCCUUUCAUGAAAUGGCCCUUCAAAUAUGCACUUGGCAUU
This 796-nucleotide long non-coding RNA is filed under the name Marmota monax (woodchuck). Lineage: Eukaryota; Metazoa; Chordata; Mammalia; Rodentia; Sciuridae. The record is from RNAcentral.